CCGGGUAGCUCAGUGGUAGAGCGCUCGGCUGUAGACCGAGUGGCCGUGGGUUCAAAUCCCACCCCGG
Molecule: transfer RNA, 67 nt
Filed under: Thermoprotei archaeon
Lineage: Archaea; Thermoproteati; Thermoproteota; Thermoprotei
Description: tRNA-Tyr
Rfam family: tRNA
About the family: Transfer RNA (tRNA) molecules are approximately 80 nucleotides in length.
Source: RNAcentral